GAGUUUGAUCAUGGCUCAGAUUGAACGCUGGCGGCAUGCCUUACACAUGCAAGUCGAACGGCAGCACGGGAGCUUGCUCCUGGGUGGCGAGUGGCGAACGGGUGAGUAAUGCAUCGGAACGUAUCCUGGAGUGGGGGAUAACGUAGCGAAAGUUACGCUAAUACCGCAUAUUCUGUGAGCAGGAAAGCGGGGGACCUUCGGGCCUCGCGCUCUUGGAGCGGCCGAUGUCGGAUUAGCUAGUUGGUGAGGUAAAGGCUCACCAAGGCGACGAUCCGUAGCAGGUCUGAGAGGAUGAUCUGCCACACUGGAACUGAGACACGGUCCAGACUCCUACGGGAGGCAGCAGUGGGAAUUUUGGACAAUGGGGGCAACCCUGAUCCAGCCAUGCCGCGUGAGUGAAGAAGGCC
RNAcentral lists this ribosomal RNA (407 nucleotides) under bacterium enrichment culture clone ALO1_GLFRUDD03FSHJ3. RNAcentral's name for it is "bacterial SSU rRNA". It matches the Rfam family "Bacterial small subunit ribosomal RNA", at positions 9 to 416 of the family's 1533-position model. The record is from RNAcentral. RNAcentral also lists the same sequence under 1 other name.